AGAAAAUUUGAUUUGAAAAAAAGAACUCACUUUUAUGUGUCACAUAUGUUUCCGAAGGAGAUUAGUCAGUGUUAAAAACUUCAUAUAGCAGAAAGGGAUGGGCGCUGCUGCACUGGGAAUAGGUUCAUCACUUCGCCGGUGCUCCGCCACUUCCAUUUCUCGCCGCAGCGCCGGAGACAUGCGUACAACCGUCAUCUUCUCACAACUUUCUAUCCUAAACCGACUAUCUCACCGCCUCAACUCUAGCCUCUCAUUAACAUCCAACACUAUGCCGGCGGCAGAAGAUCCUGACGACGGAUUCCCAUACUCCGACGUUCCCAACCCUAGCCGGAUAAAGUCAGAGAGGAAGCCAUACGUGACGCCAAUGAAGAUUCUGAUUGCGAGGGCGAAAGCAGAGAAAGAAGCUCGAAAGGCACAACCUUGUAGAGUUCUGGAAGAACCUCCUGAAAAUGGAUUGCUUGUACCGGAGCUUGUGGAAGUUGCUCAUCGUGUCUAUCGAGCUCGCGGUCAUCUAUUAUCUGGUUUGAGUCAACUCGUCCGAGUCAUUCCUGUUCUACGCUGCGAGCUUUGUAAUGAAGUUCACAUUGGUUAUGUGGGUCAUGAAAUUCGAACAUGUACUGGACCAAACAGUUGGCUGCGGAGUGCAACUCAUGUUUGGAAAAGGGGAGGUGUUCGAGAUGUGUUUCGUUUCCCAAAAUGUUUUCAUCUCUAUGACCGUGUUGGCAAACCGAGGGUUGGGCAUGACGAGAGAUUUAGUGUUCCUCGUAUCCCUGCCAUAGUUGAACUCUGUAUACAAGCGGGUCUAAACCUUGAAAAAUAUCCCACGAAGAGGAGAACCAAACCUGUAUAUUGUAUCGAAGGAAGAAUAGCUGAUUUUGAAUCCGUUGCGGAAGAGAAUGAAAGCGAAAGAAAAUGUUCUUUUCAAAAUGUUAAUCCUUUAAUUGAUUCAUCCUCUAUGUUGAUAGAACCUGUAGAGAAGAUCCAAAAUCUAGUUGAGAACCGAAUAAGCCAUAUGGAUCAGUUGAAUGAUGAGGAAAGAAACAAAGUAAGGGAUUUAAGUAAACUUACAUUGGCCUCAUGGUUUGAGAUGAUGUCAGGUGCAAAGAAGAUCAUGGAGAAGUAUGUUGUGAAUACUUGUGGAUAUUGUCCUGAGGUUCAGGUUGGUCCUAAGGGGCAUAAGUUGAGAAUGUGCAAGGCUUCAAAGCAUCAGUCUCGGAAUGGUUUACACGCAUGGCAACAAGCAACAUUAGAUGAUAUUGUUGAUCCGAAUUAUGUCUGGCAUGUUGAGGAUCUGAAUGGCCCUGCUCUGAAUAACAAUCUGAAGAGAUAUUAUGGCAAGGCUCCUGCUGUCGUGGAACUCUGUGUGCAUGCUGGGGCUCCCGUUCCUGAUCAAUAUAGGAGCAUGAUGAGAUUAGACGUGGUUUCCCCAGAACGAGAUGAAGUUGACCUUGUUGCCUGAAACACCUUCUUCCCUUUUGAAGGUGGGACAUAUACAUUCAGUGGACAUUUAGAGUUCUUAUGGAUAAAAUCAUCAACUUUUGAGUUUGAUAAAAUCUGAACAUUAGUGUCCUGUCCUGUGCUUGGCUGUAAUUCAUCAUUCACAUAUUCUGAAUAUAUUUACCAGCUUAUUUUAUCUUCAGAAAGGACACGCAGAUUGAAGAAUUAUUACAAGCCUUUCAUUUUUCGUGUUUCCAUAUUGAUUUGCAUUUAGCUCAAACUGCACAGUUUCUUGUGAAAACAAUGCUUACACCGGAAUUGAUACUAUGAAAGACCACACAGUCUGAACUGCAAUGCAUAAUGAUAAAGGGUCUUGCACUAUGCUGUGGGUGCAAAAGUAUGUCAAGCACGCUAUUGGUAGAUUCUUCUCACAAAACAUAGCUUACUAAUACAUCCUCAACUAAUUGAAUGAAUGUUGAAGCUAAUUUAGCUCGAAAUUUCUCCUAACUACUAUAUUCGAUGAAUUUAAAGAUGAAUGAUGGAAAGAAAGUUCAACAAGGGCUCCGACCACCUGCGUGGUAGGUAAUUGAUGCGGCAAAAGGCAAACCAUGAUAUAUUAUCAAGAUUGAUAUGAUUGGGAGAAAACAAUGCAAUUGACAAAAAGUCAUUGAGCUUAUUUUGAGCGUUGUAAUUGCUGGUUGGGACACAACUGCAACAACUCUAUCACAAGUUAUUUAUUUAUAUGGUAGCUACACAUGCUCAUGUUGCGACAAACUUUACUUAAAGCUUAAAACUUUUGAUGGGAAUCAAGCAAAGGAAGAGACUAUGACCUGCUUCAAUGUGACUAAGGACCCUUGCAUGCAGUCAUAACGGAGACCCGUUUACCUAAGAUGGUAAAAUUUAUCCAGCCAUUUCUAAGAGACCAGUUGAACACAGGAAGGCUGAACUUGGAGUGUUGCAGAAUAGCUUGCUGGCCAGGUAGUGGAUAUUAUGACUUUACCAUUGAAAGCUGACAAGUUUAAACAAUUAAGAAACAAGGUGGCGAUUGUCCACUGAACCAGAAUGUGCGUUUUGAGAGAAAUAGUUAGCUCAAGUGUUAUGUUAGUGUUACUUAGAAUUGACUAGUUGUGUUUUUUAACCGCUUAAUGAUAAGCCCGAUCAGUGUGAGACUUAUUCAUAGUAUGUAUGAAUAAUUUUAUUGAGUAAUACAAGUGUGUACAUUUUUCAGUGUGAAUACUUUUCCACCCUCUUUAAGUUUCCCUCUUUUCUCUGUUCAAGUGUUCUGUGAGGUUUGGUACCUAGAAUUAGAUUCUUUACAGUGAACCUGUGUUUCUUGCAGCCAAUGUGGCCUCUUUUAAUGUCCAUUUUCCAGAAAAUCUCCCCAUUCUUGAUGGCCAAACAUAAGAGAAGUCUUUCCAUCCUCUCCAAGUUUCCUUUUUUUCUCUGUUCAAGUGGUCUGUGAGUUAAAGUUUGUGUGUGAGGUUUGGAUCCAACGAAUAAUACCACUGAACUGAAAAAUUACAACAAUCUGAACAUAAUUGAGUAUCAGAUUACAGGUACAAACUACAAAGUGUAACAAGUAUGCAGUGGAUUGGACUUUUCUUCAUGAGCCACUGCACUUACAUAUCUGUUUUCUGUUUUAACUUUCCCGCUUUUCUCCAACUGUAUAAAUGACGACCUCAGCAUCUUUUCCUCUUCGAGUCAAUGAGAAAUAAUUCAUUUUCCGUUCAAUUCCGUUGAUGUUUACUCAUUAUCUCUCUAAUUUUGUCUGUUGAAAAUUUGUGUCAAAUAUGGCUAAUCAGAAAUCUGUUGAAGUUUAAGUGUUACAAACAGACCAGAAACUAAUAGAGAACAUUGACAAACAUCAAAGAGAGUAAAGACGGCGCACAUAUAUCAGAACUCAGAAGUACAUUAAGCAGAAAUAAUAAUGACAAGACUGUGUGCAUCUAGUUUGCUUCUUCAUGAAAGCGAUAACCAGAAAUAGAGUUCGACUCAAUUCAACCACAGAAAGACUAACUCACUAGAACACUAGUUAUGUAUUUUUUAAAAGAUAAUUGAUCCUUCUAGAUGUCUUAAGAGUCCCACCAAAAAGUAUCAUAAAAAUCUCCCAUGCUGCCAUGCAACAGAUGCUUCAGACAGCCAGGUAAAAGGCACGCGAUCCCUCUCUGUAAACCUGCUUAGGAAUUAAAAAGUAUGCAAUUUAGUGAUUACGCUUGUUUAUAAUGAAGACUAUCAUAGUUUAUUGUGAACAAGUGCUGAUAGAAAUUAAUUUUUGAUAACUUGAGUAGGGUUAUUAAAAAGUUCGAAAUGGAAUGUGUUUUCAUAGUUUGACGUUAUUUCGUAUGUCUAAAUUGCCAUUGUAGAUUCUAUGCAAGGAAGAGAUAAUGUUGCCUGCAUGUUAACUGUUAAGUGCUCAUAGUCUUACGAGGAUACGGCUUGCUGCAACAGAGAGAUAAUUCCACCUACAUACAAGUAAGUGCUAAUGGUCUUAUGAGGCUACUUUAUGCAAACAACAAAUGUGAAGAUUAUCAUAAGAAGCUAAUGGGUUGAAAAACUUGAGACCCAUCAUUCCCUACCUAUCUCCUAGAAAUGAGAAUUUCAUUUCGUUUCAACCGGGUUUUGAUGACUACUUACGCGGUACUGAGAACACAUUUGAAUGCAGUCUCUCCCCUGAUUGUUAUUACAGUACAUCAUCCAAAACACUUAAUAGGCCAUAUUAUCAUUAUAACUAUUUAGUUUGAUUUUGAAAGAGAGUAGGUAACUUGCAAUAAAUUAUCAUAGUCAUGUCAUUAACAUAAAGAAUUGCAAAUUUAGAUUUGAAAGCUUAGUUGUGAUCAAAUUCAAAACGUUUUUGUUUUUACCACCAGUUUAAUCUAGUUCGGGGCAAAUUCAAGACUUUGAUAGCCAGGUUGCACAAUGUAGCAUUAUAGAGUUUGUUAUGGUAAGGGCAUCUGAAUUAAUAAAAAUAUCUUGUACCACAGUGUUUGACUUUCUGUAUUCUUCUGCUAUAAGAUAGUGUCUGUUUGACAAAUGAAGCUCGUGAGAGGACAAAUGCGAA
This is an RNA transcript of Trifolium pratense (red clover), 4495 nucleotides long. It is a transcript of the gene named APO protein 3, mitochondrial, with no coding region annotated. The transcript is spliced from 4 exons. NCBI's taxonomy places the organism in Eukaryota, Viridiplantae, Streptophyta, Magnoliopsida, Fabales, Fabaceae. The record is from RefSeq and is a predicted model, not a curated record.